GACGAACGCUGGCGGCGUGCUUAACACAUGCAAGUCGAACGGAAAGGCGCUGCUUUUGCGGGGUGCUCGAUUGGCGAACGGGUGAGUAACACGUGAGUAAACUGCCCUUGACUGUGGGAUAACUUCAGGAAACUGGGGCGAAUACCGGAUAGGAGCUCCUGCUGCACGGGGUGGGUUGGAAAGUUUCGGCGGUUGGGGAUGGACUCGCGGCUUAUCAGCUUGUUGGUGGGGUAGUGGCUUACGAAGGCUUUGACGGGUAGCCGGCCUGGGAGGGUGACCGGCCACCUUGGGACUGAGAUACGGCCCAGACUCCUACGUGAGGCAGCAGUGGGGAAUAUUGCACAAUGGGCGGAAGCCUGAUGCAGCAACGCCGCGUGCGGGAUGACGGCCUUCGGGUUGUAAACCGCUUUCGCCUGUGACGAAGCGUGAGUGACGGUAAUGGGUAAAGAAGCACCGGCUAACUACGUG
Molecule: ribosomal RNA, 468 nt
Filed under: uncultured bacterium
Lineage: Bacteria
Description: partial 16S ribosomal RNA
Rfam family: Bacterial small subunit ribosomal RNA
Source: RNAcentral